Molecule: long non-coding RNA, 1155 nt
Filed under: Aotus nancymaae (Ma's night monkey)
Lineage: Eukaryota; Metazoa; Chordata; Mammalia; Primates; Aotidae
Description: lncRNA (ENSANAG00000039297.1)
Source: RNAcentral
CGAGCCAGGAGAGACACCAGCCCAGUGAGCACAGGGACCAGGAAUCCAGGAGCAGGUUGUGGCUCACCUGGGUUGGAGAACCCCGCCAGAGUCCAUGGACAGUGGUGAGCCUCUGAGGAAUGAAGCCCUGGGCCUGGGAUGGGGUGGGAACAGGCCUCCUUGGCCAAGGCUGGCCUCUGCGGUGCUGCAGAGUGGGCCCGGGAAGGCUGCAUCUGCAACCAACUGGGUGCGGGCAGUCACCUGCAAAUGCUGGGAGCACUGCACAGCCUCCAGGGCAGGCCUCUUUCAACAAGAGUGGCCGCGGGAGAACCCAGGGGACAGAGACGAAGUCAUUGGCAGUUAGGAGAAGAGCCACAUCUGCAAGCCAUGAGGAGUUUGCAUGUUUCUCACAUGAAGGACCCUCCCCUGUGGUGAGUCAGAGCCAGAGAAACCACCACCUCCACCACCAACACCAUCACCUCCGCCCCCGCCUCCGCCUCCUGGAAACAUCUGCCCCACUGUGAUUGUUUGCUGCUCUGGGUGCCAAGGAGUGUGUGGGAUGAGAGGGAUAAAGGGCAAUCUGGAUACCUUCGGUGACCUCUGUCACCCAAACUACAGCCAGGUGCCAUGGAUGUGGUGUCAGCACAGGGACCAGGGGAGGUGCCUCAGCUUAGUCCUUGCACAGUCCCAAUGCGUACAGGCUCCCUGCUGCCCAGAGAUCUGCUUUCCACUCAACCAGGAAUGCCUUCCCCCACCACAGGCUCCCUACAGCCCAAAGAUGUGCCUGAGACACAGCCAGGAAAGCCUUCCCCCACCACAGGCUCCCUGCAGCCCAAGCAUGUGCCUGAGACAUGGCCUGGAGUACUUUUCCCAAGCACGAACUCUGUGCAAACCAAAGAGCUGCCUUCAGCCCAGCCGGAAGUGCCUCCCCAUCACCUGCUCCUCCAGGCGUCGCCACCUCCCUGCUAGGUGCUCCAGAAUCCCCUCCAGGAUGCUGCCGCUGCUACCCCCACUGUUCGGGCACACUGCACAACCCCCUUUGUCUCUCCCUCCCUCAGAGCCCAACUUCUAAGGCACCAAAUACCCAAGAUUAACAAGCCUUUGUUGCUGAACUGGAAAUAUACAUCAAAUCUGCAUUUGUCAGUCAAAGGAGUUGAAUUCUUGCUGAUCAACCAA